CGCACGGUGGCGUAGUGGUUAGCAUGUUCGUUCACACUGCCAGGCUCGGGGGUUCGAGUCCCACCUGGGCCU
This is a non-coding RNA of Ameiurus melas (black bullhead), 72 nucleotides long. Lineage: Eukaryota; Metazoa; Chordata; Actinopteri; Siluriformes; Ictaluridae. The record is from the annotation of a GenBank genome assembly.